Molecule: ribosomal RNA, 300 nt
Filed under: uncultured Thermococcus sp.
Lineage: Archaea; Methanobacteriati; Methanobacteriota; Thermococci; Thermococcales; Thermococcaceae
Description: bacterial SSU rRNA
Rfam family: Bacterial small subunit ribosomal RNA
Source: RNAcentral
GGAAACUUGGUGGCGGGAGCCGGGGAAAGAAGAAGGGGGCGGGCGUUGGGCGGAGUGACGGGGGGUAAAGCGGGCGCAGGAGGGUUUGUAAGACAGAGGUGAAAUCCCCGGGCUCAACCUGGGAACUGCCUUUGUGACUGCAAGGCUAGAGUACGGCAGAGGGGGAUGGAAGUCCGCGUGUAGCAGUGAAAUGCGUAGAUAUGCGGAGGAACACCGAUGGCGAAGGCAAUCCCCUGGGCCUGUACUGACGCUCAUGCACGAAAGCGUGGGGAGCAAACAGGAUUAGAUACCCGAGUAGUC